CACGGGGGGAGCAAGCGUUGUUCGGAAUCACUGGGCGUAAAGGGCGUGUAGGCGGUCAAGUAAGUGGAAUGUGAAAUCCCCCGGCUUACCCGGGGACCGGCAUCCCAUACUGCUUGGCUUGAGUACGGGAGAGGAUGUGGGAAUUCCUGGUGUAGCGGUGAAAUGCGCAGAUAUCAGGAGGAACACCAGCGGCGAAGGCGGCGCUCUGGGCCGGUACUGACACUGAGGAGCGAAAGCGUGGGUAGCAAACAGG
This 253-nucleotide ribosomal RNA is filed under the name uncultured bacterium. RNAcentral describes it as "partial 16S ribosomal RNA". It matches the Rfam family "Bacterial small subunit ribosomal RNA", at positions 524 to 776 of the family's 1533-position model. The record is from RNAcentral.